RNAcentral lists this ribosomal RNA (484 nucleotides) under uncultured bacterium. Its description in RNAcentral is "partial 16S ribosomal RNA". It matches the Rfam family "Bacterial small subunit ribosomal RNA", at positions 30 to 507 of the family's 1533-position model. The record is from RNAcentral.
AUUGAACGCUGGCGGCAGGCCUAACACAUGCAAGUCGAGCGGAUGAAGGGAGCUUGCUCCUGGAUUCAGCGGCGGACGGGUGAGUAAUGCCUAGGAAUCUGCCUGGUAGUGGGGGAUAACGUCCGGAAACGGGCGCUAAUACCGCAUACGUCCUGAGGGAGAAAGUGGGGGAUCUUCGGACCUCACGCUAUCAGAUGAGCCUAGGUCGGAUUAGCUAGUUGGUGGGGUAAAGGCCUACCAAGGCGACGAUCCGUAACUGGUCUGAGAGGAUGAUCAGUCACACUGGAACUGAGACACGGUCCAGACUCCUACGGGAGGCAGCAGUGGGGAAUAUUGCACAAUGGGCGAAAGCCUGAUCCAGCCAUGCCGCGUGUGUGAAGAAGGUCUUCGGAUUGUAAAGCACUUUAAGUUGGGAGGAAGGGCAGUAAGUUAAUACCUUGCUGUUUUGACGUUACCAACAGAAUAAGCACCGGCUAACUCCGUG